Molecule: ribosomal RNA, 601 nt
Filed under: Chryseobacterium flavum
Lineage: Bacteria; Pseudomonadati; Bacteroidota; Flavobacteriia; Flavobacteriales; Weeksellaceae
Description: bacterial SSU rRNA
Rfam family: Bacterial small subunit ribosomal RNA
Source: RNAcentral
GCGGCGUACGGGUGCGGAACACGUGUGCAACCUGCCUUUAUCUGGGGGAUAGCCUUUCGAAAGGAAGAUUAAUACCCCAUAAUAUAUUGAAUGGCAUCAUUUGAUAUUGAAAACUCCGGUGGAUAGAGAUGGGCACGCGCAAGAUUAGAUAGUUGGUGAGGUAACGGCUCACCAAGUCAGCGAUCUUUAGGGGGCCUGAGAGGGUGAUCCCCCACACUGGUACUGAGACACGGACCAGACUCCUACGGGAGGCAGCAGUGAGGAAUAUUGGACAAUGGGUGAGAGCCUGAUCCAGCCAUCCCGCGUGAAGGACGACGGCCCUAUGGGUUGUAAACUUCUUUUGUAUAGGGAUAAACCUACCCUCGUGAGGGUAGCUGAAGGUACUAUACGAAUAAGCACCGGCUAACUCCGUGCCAGCAGCCGCGGUAAUACGGAGGGUGCAAGCGUUAUCCGGAUUUAUUGGGUUUAAAGGGUCCGUAGGCUGAUUUGUAAGUCAGUGGUGAAAUCUCACAGCUUAACUGUGAAACUGCCAUUGAUACUGCAAGUCUUGAGUGUUGUUGAAGUAGCUGGAAUAAGUAGUGUAGCGGUGAAAUGCAUAGAU